NNNNNNNNNNNNNNNNNNNNNNNNNNNNNNNNNNNNNNNNNNNNNNNNNNNNCCAAAGCCACAGCUUAAAAGAAGCCUUCUGGGUUGUCAUUUCAGCCGAAUUGGCCAAUGAUAUGACGACAGGUGCUCUCCCCCACCUCUCACUCCAAGGAGAAGAGGAGGAGAGAGAAAGAGAUUUACAAGUUGAGAACAAACGAAAAUGCUUUAAUAAAUUAAAAUAGAAAUAACAAAAUAGAUUCAAUAUAUACAAAGUUGUAUCAAGGUUCCAGGAUGAAGGCACUGGCAGCACUCGGGAAGUCCCAGACUGGACUCAGCCAUGGACAGGAACUAGAUACCCAGUCUGGAGUCAGGAACACAGGGAUGGGGAUCAAGAGCAGACAAACAGACAGGGUCCUCCGCUGGGGAAGCAGGAGUUCCCGGGCUCUGUCUGGGCACGUGAAGGGCCGGGGGAGAAAGGGGGGGUCCUUAGUCCCUCUCUGGGCACUGGUGGGACUGGGGGAACCAGGGGGACCCUUAUACCUCUCUCUCGCAGGAGGAGGGGGGGGGGGAAGGAGCCCAUCCCUACCUGUCCCCGCACACAACCACCCUCCGUUUCCUCCUCCUGCCCCGCCGCUGCCGCUCUGUGCGGGGGGGGUCACUGAGGAACUGGCUUUUAACACAUCCCCACCAGCAAGAGAGCAAGGGGCGGCAGGGGAGGCAGCCAAACGAAGCGCUGCCUUUAAGAGACACACACCCCCCACCCCCUCCUCAUCCCAAUUGAUCCACUGUUUGGGACCCACCCACCCCCAGGGGGAUAUGGGGGACCCCCAGAGAAAGAAGGGCAAAAGGGGAUUCUUUGCCAGGUUCAGCGGUCACUGGUCACUGUCAGGGCAGGAGUUGGGCAUUAGUGACGUGGCCAUUAGUGUGGCUGGAAGCCCCAAAGUGAUAAAACGUGCUGAGAUUGGGACCAGGGCUGAGGAAGAAGUGUUUUCUGCUGGGGGUGGUGAGACCCCAGCUCAGGUUGCCCACAGAAGGGGCUGAUGGCCCCAUCCCUAGGAAUAUCCCAGGGCAGGUUGGACGGGGCUGUUGGGCGACCUGC
This 1078-nucleotide long non-coding RNA is filed under the name Calidris pugnax (ruff). Its description in RNAcentral is "lncRNA (ENSCPUG00000007818.1)". The record is from RNAcentral. Lineage: Eukaryota; Metazoa; Chordata; Aves; Charadriiformes; Scolopacidae.